Molecule: ribosomal RNA, 266 nt
Filed under: uncultured bacterium
Lineage: Bacteria
Description: partial 16S ribosomal RNA
Rfam family: Bacterial small subunit ribosomal RNA
Source: RNAcentral
GUCCACGCCCUAAACGAUGAUGACUAGUUGUUGGGGGAGUUAAAUCCCUUAGUAACGCAGCUAACGCGUGAAGUCAUCCGCCUGGGGAGUACGGUCGCAAGAUUAAAACUCAAAGGAAUUGACGGGGGCCCGCACAAGCGGUGGAUGAUGUGGUUUAAUUCGACGCAACGCGAAAAACCUUACCUACCCUUGACAUGUGCGGAAUCCUGCAGAGAUGCAGGAGUGCCCGAAAGGGAACCGCAACACAGGUGCUGCAUGGCUGUCGU